This 512-nucleotide ribosomal RNA is filed under the name uncultured Entrophospora. RNAcentral describes it as "SSU rRNA". It matches the Rfam family "Eukaryotic small subunit ribosomal RNA", at positions 569 to 1085 of the family's 1831-position model. Lineage: Eukaryota; Fungi; Glomeromycota; Glomeromycetes; Entrophosporales; Entrophosporaceae. The record is from RNAcentral.
AGCAGCCGCGGUAAUUCCAGCUCCAAUAGCGUAUAUUAAAGUUGUUGCAGUUAAAAAGCUCGUAGUUGAAUUUCGGGAUUGACGUGAUGGUCGUGCCUUGCGGGGUGUGAACUGUUGCAGUCAAUUUCUCACCUUCUGGAGAAAUAUGAUGUCCUUAAUUGGGUGUCAUAUGGAACCAGAACUUUUACCUUGAAAAAUUAGAGUGUUUAAAGCAGGCUUAUUGCUCGAAUACAUUAGCAUGGAAUAAUAAAAUAGGACGGCAUGGUUCUAUUUUGUGGUUUCUAGGAUCACCGUAAUGAUUAUAGGGAUAGUUGGGGGCAUUAGUAUUCAAUUGUCAGAGGUGAAAUUCUUGGAUUUAUUGAAGACUAACUACUGCGAAAGCAUUUGCCAAGGAUGUUUUCAUUAAUCAAGACGAAAGUUAGGGGAUCGAGACGAUCAGAUACCGUCGUAGUCUUAACCAUAAACUAUGCCGACUAGGGAUCGGAUGAUGUUAAUUUUUAAUGUACUCUACG